Long non-coding RNA from Nylanderia fulva, 778 nucleotides. RefSeq lists it as uncharacterized. The record is from RefSeq and is a predicted model, not a curated record. NCBI's taxonomy places the organism in Eukaryota, Metazoa, Arthropoda, Insecta, Hymenoptera, Formicidae.
GUUGCCUGCCGUUCCCGGCAAGUCUUUCACGAAUCAGUCACAGUUACGGUGUGAUCGCAGUGUGUCGCGGUCACGUGUGACUUGUAUUUAAUACUAUAGUGACUUAUAUUUAACUGUAAAAAUGUUUGCACUUUUAAUAGUUAUACACGAAGAAUUUAAGAAAAUUCUUAUUAUUUAUUUGCUUAUUUUUAUGUUCUGCUGUUUAGUUCUAUAUUUAAUUAAAAAAUAUAAAAAAAAGAUAGUGCGGAGAGAAACGGUCACAUUAAGACAGAGGUGCGGCACGAGGAGCAGGAAAUAUGUGCAAGUAAACACGAAACAGACAUUGAGGAAAGGGUCGUCGUGAGACGAGGGAGACACAAGGAGGAAAUUUAAGAAAGUACAGAAGACAGAUAUUUCAACCUCUGCACAUGCGGAAACCAGACCUACAGCAACGUUGGACGCGGAACGUUACGAUUGGUCGAAAAUUAAGCCAGACUGCCAUCAAUGGACACGAAGGGCCUGCAUCGAUUGCCAAAAGACAAAAGUCCACAAUCGGACACCUCAAAAAGAUAACUUACUGAUAUUAUUUCUAAGAAAAACUAAUUAAGUAGGUCUUCAGAAAGUCCUCUUAAAGAUUUCAUCCUUUCAAUAAUGCUCACUGGGAUGUCUGCGCUUGCGUCGGACGAAUCAGUUGCCUGCCGUUCCCGGCAAAUCUUUCACGAAUCAAUCACAGUUACGGUGUGAUCGCGGUGCGAUCAAGUAAACUGUGACUUGUUAUAUUAAAAAAUGUUGGAAUCUU